AAGUCGUAACAAGGUUUCCGUAGGUGAACCUGCGGAAGGAUCAUUAAUGAGAACUAAGGGUAGUAGUCUCGGCUAUUACUCUGAACACUCCACCCUUUGUUUAUAUUACCUUUGUUGCUUUAGCAGGCCCGCUCUCGAGCCGCCGGCACCUGCUGGCUAGUGCCUGCUAAAGAACCUAAAACUCUUGUUAAUAAUAUUGUCUGAGUACUAUAUAAUAGUUAAAACUUUCAACAACGGAUCUCUUGGUUCUGGCAUCGAUGAAGAACGCAGCGAAAUGCGAUAAGUAAUGUGAAUUGCAGAAUUCAGUGAAUCAUCGAAUCUUUGAACGCACAUUGCGCCCUCUGGUAUUCCGGGGGGCAUGCCUGUUCGAGCGUCAUUACACCACUCAAGCUCUGCUUGGUAUUAGGUCUCACCUGCUAAAGGCGGGCCGUAAAAUCAGUGGCGGUGCCAUCUGGCUUCAAGCUUAGUAAUUUUUCUAGCUUAGGAGUACCAGGUGUGUGCCUGCCAACAACCCCAAUUUUUUUUAAGGUUGACCUCGGAUCAGGUAGGGAUACCCGCUGAACUUAA
This 567-nucleotide ribosomal RNA is filed under the name uncultured fungus. RNAcentral's name for it is "eukaryotic LSU rRNA". The stretch from base 223 to 376 matches the Rfam family "5.8S ribosomal RNA". The record is from RNAcentral. Lineage: Eukaryota; Fungi.